This 484-nucleotide ribosomal RNA is filed under the name Limosilactobacillus fermentum. RNAcentral's name for it is "bacterial SSU rRNA". It matches the Rfam family "Bacterial small subunit ribosomal RNA", at positions 28 to 474 of the family's 1533-position model. The record is from RNAcentral. Lineage: Bacteria; Bacillati; Bacillota; Bacilli; Lactobacillales; Lactobacillaceae.
GAUGAACGCCGGCGGUGUGCCUAAUACAUGCAAGUCGAACGCGUUGGCCCAAUUGAUUGAUGGUGCUUGCACCUGAUUGAUUUUGGUCGCCAACGAGUGGCGGACGGGUGAGUAACACGUAGGUAACCUGCCCAGAAGCGGGGGACAACAUUUGGAAACAGAUGCUAAUACCGCAUAACAGCGUUGUUCGCAUGAACAACGCUUAAAAGAUGGCUUCUCGCUAUCACUUCUGGAUGGACCUGCGGUGCAUUAGCUUGUUGGUGGGGUAACGGCCUACCAAGGCGAUGAUGCAUAGCCGAGUUGAGAGACUGAUCGGCCACAAUGGGACUGAGACACGGCCCAUACUCCUACGGGAGGCAGCAGUAGGGAAUCUUCCACAAUGGGCGCAAGCCUGAUGGAGCAACACCGCGUGAGUGAAGAAGGGUUUCGGCUCGUAAAGCUCUGUUGUUAAAGAAGAACACGUAUGAGAGUAACUGUUCAUACG